UGGAAUUAACGUUACGUAGGCGUCGCCGUCGCCACUCAGCUAUUUUUUUUUGCCCUUCUUCAUAGACCUCGUUUUGAAGCACACAGCUUGUUCCUCGCCUUGCGGCCUGCGGGGUAUCCUCCUCCACCCCGACAAAAUGAAGUCAAGGAGGAUAUUUGGAUUCUCUGUGUCUCUCAUUCUCAUCAACCUUGCUUCUAUUAUGGAGCGUGCCGAUGAGAGUCUAUUACCAGCAGUUUAUAAAGAAGUUAGUCAGGCCUUCAAUGCUGGUCCUAUUGAGCUCGGAUACCUUACUUUCAUACUAAAGUUUGUUCAGUCAAUAGCAUGUCCUGUGGCAGGCGUGCUAAUCCUUUAUCAUGACCGCCCUGUUGUUUUGGCAAUGGGUACUGCCUUCUGGGCUUUGUCCACAGCUGCAGUUGGUUUGAGCCAGCGUUUUGAGCAGGCUGCAUUUUGGAGGGCAAUAAAUGGGUUUGGGUUGGCCAUUGUCAUACCUGCACUGCAAUCAUUCAUCGCAGAUAGUUAUAUGGACGGUAUGCGUGGUACUGGAUUUGGCUUGUUAAGCCUUGUAGGUGCAGUAGGGGGGAUCGGAGGUGGCGUUCUAGCUACAAUUAUGGCUGGACACGAGUAUUGGGGAAUACCAGGAUGGCGUUUUGCUUUCAUCAUGAUGGCAUCACUGAGCUUGCUGAUUGGAGUUCUGGUAUAUCUGUUUGUUGUUGAACCUAGGAAAGAUCCUUUGGCUGCUCAUGGUGCUGAUGAUGGCACUGAAAGGGUCAUGUUGGUUCCGAAAGGUACCGUAACUGUAUCUUCGAUCUGGAGUAAUUCCUGGUUAGCAAUGAAAUCUGUGAUGAGAGUGCAUACAUUUCAGAUCAUUGUCCUUCAAGGCAUUGUUGGUUCAUUACCAGGGGCAGCCAUGGUUUUCUUCACAAUGUGGUUCGAAUUGAUAGGAUUCGACAAUAACAGCUCGGCUUCGUUAAACAGCCUUUUCCUCGUCGGAUGUGCUUUGGGUUCCUUCCUAGGGGGAUGCAUAGCUGAUAGCAUCUCCAAAUACUACCCCGACUCGGGCCGAGUUAUGUGCGCUCAAUUCAGUGCUUUCAUGGGUAUUCCUUUUUCUUGGAUUCUUUUUACUCGAAUCGAGCAGUCUGUAGAAAACUGGAAUGCUUUCGCCGUCACAGUGUUCUUCAUGGGCUUAUGCAUUAGCUGGUGUGCCUCUGGCGCCAACAACCCCAUGUUUGCAGAGGUUGUCCCUUCCAAGCAUCGCACAAUGAUUUAUGCAUUUGAUCGAGCAUUCGAAGGAUCGUUCGCCUCAUUUGCAGCGCCAGCAGUAGGUUUCCUUACCGAGAAGAUUUAUGGUUAUGAUCCGAAAUCAUUCGAGACGUCAGGCGGGUCCGCUCAAGGUGCAUUAGCACUAUCAAAGGGUCUUCUGGCGAUGACUGUCCUUCCUUUCGGCUUGUGUUCCUUAUUUUACAGUCCUCUCUAUGUGGUAUUCAAGCGCGAUCGGGAUAGCGCUAAGGUGGCCUGUUCAAAGGAGCUAGAAAUGAUCUCGUAGAAAGACAAUAGCAACACCAUCGAUCGCAGAACAUUACCUGAGACCUUUGACCUUGAUGCAUUGGAGUUAGAUGAAUCAAUCAAUCCUACUGAGUAUGUAAUUUUUCACCUUAGAUUGUAUAGGGAAUUCAAGUGGAUGUUAACUCUGUGUAAUUGUUUACUUUGUUCACAUAUUUUGAUGCAGUUGUCCAGACAAUCACUAAAAAGAUUAUGAGCAAAUAACUUUGACAAGUGAAGCUUCAGCAUCGCAAGAUCAAUAUGUAGCUUUCUUCAUGGAUAAGGUCAAGCCUUGUCUCACUUGGAACUGGAGCUUCAAUCUUCACCUCCUGUCAGAGAACAGAAACAAAAGAGAAGAAUGAAAAAACAUUCAUAUGAUGAAAAAAUUAUAUUGACAAAUGCGUAAUUAUCGCUAUUGUUUUUUAGAGAAGAACUUUUAUGAUUUGAUCUGGUGUAUCAACAAUUAACUAAUCUAACUUUAUCGCCGUCACUUUAUAAACAAAUUUUUCAUGA
RNA transcript from Zingiber officinale, 2052 nucleotides. It is a transcript of the gene named putative glycerol-3-phosphate transporter 2, with no coding region annotated. NCBI's taxonomy places the organism in Eukaryota, Viridiplantae, Streptophyta, Magnoliopsida, Zingiberales, Zingiberaceae. The record is from RefSeq and is a predicted model, not a curated record. The transcript is spliced from 7 exons.